AGGCGCGUAGCUCAGGGGCAGAGCACUACCUUGACAUGGUAGGGGUCGGCGGUUCGAUCCCGCCCGCGCCUA
This 72-nucleotide transfer RNA is filed under the name Candidatus Kentrum sp. TC. Its description in RNAcentral is "Candidatus Kentron sp. TC tRNA_Val_GAC". It matches the Rfam family "tRNA". Rfam says of the family: Transfer RNA (tRNA) molecules are approximately 80 nucleotides in length. Their secondary structure includes four short double-helical elements and three loops (D, anti-codon, and T loops). Lineage: Bacteria; Pseudomonadati; Pseudomonadota; Gammaproteobacteria. The record is from RNAcentral.